GUCUGGAUAGCUCAGUUGGUUAGAGUGUGGUGCUGAUAAUGCCAAGGUUGCAGGUUCGAUCCCCGUAUGGGAUG
Molecule: transfer RNA, 74 nt
Filed under: Podarcis lilfordi (Lilford's wall lizard)
Lineage: Eukaryota; Metazoa; Chordata; Lepidosauria; Squamata; Lacertidae
Rfam family: tRNA
About the family: Transfer RNA (tRNA) molecules are approximately 80 nucleotides in length. Their secondary structure includes four short double-helical elements and three loops (D, anti-codon, and T loops).
Source: Rfam by way of RNAcentral